UUACGGGAGGCAGCAGUGGGGAAUCUUGCACAAUGGGGGCAACCCUGAUGCAGCGACGCCGCGUGAGCGAUGAAGCCCUUCGGGGUGUAAAGCUCUUUCGGCAGGGACGAAACAAGACGGUACCUGCAGAAGCAGCUGCGGCUAACUACGUGCCAGCAGCCGCGGUAAUACGUAGGCAGCGAGCGUUGUUCGGAGUUACUGGGCGUAAAGGGUGUGUAGGCGGUUCUCUAAGUUUGGUGUGAAAUCUCCCGGCUUAACCGGGAGGGUGCGCCGAAAACUGGGGGGCUAGAGUGCGGGAUGGGAGAGUGGAAUUCCUGGUGUAGCGGUGAAAUGCGUAGAUAUCAGGAGGAACACCGGUGGUGUAGACGGCUCUCUGGACCGUAACUGACGCUGAGACACGAAAGCGUGGGUAGCAAACAGGAUUAGAUACCCCGGU
This 436-nucleotide ribosomal RNA is filed under the name uncultured bacterium. RNAcentral's name for it is "bacterial SSU rRNA". It matches the Rfam family "Bacterial small subunit ribosomal RNA", at positions 339 to 791 of the family's 1533-position model. The record is from RNAcentral.